GAUGAACGCUAGCGGCAGGCCUAAUACAUGCAAGUCGAGGGUAUAGCGGUGCUUGCACUGCUAGAGACCGGCGCACGGGUGCGUAACGCGUAUGCAACCUACCUUUAUCAGGGGGAUAGCCCGAAGAAAUUCGGAUUAAUACCGCAUAAGACCACACUAUGGCAUCAUAGAGAGGUCAAACAUUUAUGGGAUAGAGAUGGGCAUGCGUGCCAUUAGUUAGUUGGUGAGGUAAUGGCUCACCAAGACGAUGAUGGCUAGGGGAUCUGAGAGGAUGGCCCCCCANACUGGUACUGAGACACGGACCAGACUCCUACGGGAGCAGCAGUAAGGAUAUUGGUCAAUGGACGCAAGUCUGAACCAGCCAUGCCGCGUGCAGGACGACGGCCCUCUGGGUUGUAAACCUGCUUUUAUACGGGAAUAAACCUACCCUUGCGAGGGUAGCUGAAUGUACCGUAAGAAUAAGGAUCGGCUAACU
This 475-nucleotide ribosomal RNA is filed under the name uncultured bacterium. Its description in RNAcentral is "bacterial SSU rRNA". It matches the Rfam family "Bacterial small subunit ribosomal RNA", at positions 28 to 502 of the family's 1533-position model. The record is from RNAcentral.